RNAcentral lists this ribosomal RNA (492 nucleotides) under uncultured bacterium. Its description in RNAcentral is "partial 16S ribosomal RNA". It matches the Rfam family "Bacterial small subunit ribosomal RNA", at positions 29 to 507 of the family's 1533-position model. The record is from RNAcentral.
AGUGAACGCUGGCGGUAGGCCUAACACAUGCAGGUCGAACGGCAGCACAGUAAGAGCUUGCUCUUACGGGUGGCGAGUGGCGGACGGGUGAGGAAUACAUCGGAUUCUACUUUUUCGUGGGGGAUAACGUAGGGAAACUUACGCUAAUACCGCAUACGAUCUACGGGUGAAAGCAGGGGAUCUUCGGACCUUGCGCGAUUGAAUGAGCCGAUGUCGGAUUAGCUAGUUGGCUGGGUAAAGGCCCACCAAGGCGACGAUCCGUAGCUGGUCUGAGAGGAUGAUCAGCCACACUGGAACUGAGACACGGUCCAGACUCCUACGGGAGGCAGCAGUGGGGAAUAUUGGACAAUGGGCGCAAGCCUGAUCCAGCCAUACCGCGUGGGUGAAGAAGGCCUUCGGGUUGUAAAGCCCUUUUGUUGGGAAAGAAAAGCAGCAGGUUAAUACCCCGCUGUUCUGACGGUACCCAAAGAAUAAGCACCGGCUAACUUCGUG